CCCUUAGAUGUCCUGGGCCGCGCGCGCGCUACACUGAACGGAUCAGCGCGUUUUCCCUUCCCGAGAGGGACGGGUAACCUGCUGAACCCCGUUCGUGGUAGGGAUCGGGGCUUGCAAUUAUUCCCCGUGAACCAGGAAUGCCCAGUAAGUGCAAGUCAUAAGCUUGCGUUGAUUACGUCCCUGCCCUUUGUACACACCGCCCGUCGCUACUACCGAUUGAACGUUUUAGUGAGGUACUCGGACUGAGCCUCAGAAGAUUCACGUCUUUUGUGCUGCUCGGGAAGAUUCCCAAACUUGAGCGUUUAGAGGAAGUAAAAGUCGUAACA
This 326-nucleotide ribosomal RNA is filed under the name uncultured eukaryote. RNAcentral describes it as "partial 18S ribosomal RNA". It matches the Rfam family "Eukaryotic small subunit ribosomal RNA", at positions 1470 to 1796 of the family's 1831-position model. The record is from RNAcentral.